Molecule: long non-coding RNA, 3119 nt
Organism: Cercocebus atys (sooty mangabey)
Lineage: Eukaryota; Metazoa; Chordata; Mammalia; Primates; Cercopithecidae
Exons: 3
Source: RefSeq, a predicted model, not a curated record
CUACAAUAACCAACUUCCUCUGACUCCAAAUUUACUCCUUAGGUACACUUGGCUUAGAUAUUCCUUUGACUAUCCAAUCAUACCACUGUAUACUACAAUUUACACAUGCAUACACGCUCACCUAAAGAGUUUUUUUUUUUUUUUAAUCGAGUCUGGGACCUGGUUUCCCUCCAUUAAAUAACUGAUGAAAAAUUUAGUAAAUCUACAGAGAGAGUUUAGUAAGUGUAAGAAGACUUUGCUCACUGUGUGUGAUAUUCCAAUAGAUUCAUGUGUUCUACACACAGGGAUCUCUUGGAUAUAAGGGAAGCAUUUCUCAGAUGUCUGGGUGUGUUUCUGGUCACUAUCCAGGUUCCUGGCUCAGCUUCCCAGGUCUCUAUGAAUAAGCAGAGGGCAUCCACAUCCAGACCAGGCUCCUGGGGUUCAGACCAUAGGGGCUGGGCAUCCCUGGUAGACCUCACAUUGGGCACUGAGACUCCUGAAAAACUUGUGCUGUUAAUUUUGCAGUUCUCUAUCUUGACUGCUUCUCAGACUGACCACCAGUUGGUGAGUUUUCAUCAGCCUUCUGCCUCGUCUCCUCUGACCCAAGCAGCAGCAGGGACUCACUUGCAUGCACUGGUCUUGUAGGCAGUAACUUUUAAGCCACAUCCUCUGUCCACCAGGCUAAACUUGCCUGCCUGAGAGGCAUACUCCUUCCACCCUCUGUCGUACAUCUGUGAGCUACCAACUCUGGCCCUAGUGUGACACUGCCAGAAUGUUGUGUACCUCAUCUAUUUAGAGUGGGAAACCCAUCAGGCAAACUGUAGAGGCCCCGUAUCCUCACUCCCUUUCUGCUCAGUUUUUUCACCUAUAUUAUCUCAACUUCACUCUACUAACCAGAGUACCAAGGAAAGGUAGGCUAGCAAUUAUGUCCAUGAUGACUAUAGAGAAGUGGAGAGGAGAUGACUUAUGAUCUUCUUUGUGCUGGAUUCUCUACUGAAGGCAUCUGAUGGCUUCUGAUUUCCCUGGUCUGAGAAGAAAGUCCCUAUCCACCUCUCCCUCCUUACUCUACCUCAGGCUGAGGGGCUCAGGCAACCUUUCAUGUUGCAUAUGGCAUAGGUAUGUCUGCCUCACUCCAGAAGGGACCAGCCAAUAGCCACCUACUUCUAAGGUCUAGUGCCCACAGACCUGGUGUUCAUAAAUUUAAGUUCUGGAUUUAGGUCUCCUUUCCUGUAGCCAGGUGAUCAGUGACAGGCGAAAAUCAAGAUCCCAGACUUCCGGAGUAACCUCAUCAAGAUUGAGGUAACAGCUCACAUAGCUAGUGCAUAGACAGAUGCAGGUUACAUGGAGUCUGAAUCUUGUACACAUUUGGAGGCUCCCUUUGGGACUGCUGGGAAGCAUGAAACAUGGGAUUUCACUCACCGUUGUGCUCACUAUGUGUGAUAUUCCUAUAGAUUCAUGUCUUCUACACACAGGCAUUUUUGAUCAUUCUGAAUUCUUGAUUCCCAUAAAAAAUGAAUACAUAGUCAUCAUAGCAUAUGCUGCAUUACUGAAUAUAUAUUUAUGAGAGUCUCCAACACAUCUUUACACGUCUGAGGAGUGGAAGAAUUUCCCACAGAUUAGUUUCUUGUUCCCCACAUUUCAAACCUCAUUUCUCUUCCACCUCUGGCACCGGGUGUGGUACGGCUCCUUAGUGCUCCAUGCCAGAAGUGGCACAGUGGUAAAGUUAUUUCUGGUGGGGGGAGGGGUAUUUGGAGAAAAAAAAGGAAGAGGAUUGCCGGGGAGUAUACAGGGAGGGUUAGGAGAAAUUCUGGAGAUACGGUCCACUCAAUGGAGGCACAUAUAACCAAGCUGAGAAACGACAUAGUACACAACAGAAUCGGGAGAUGUGAAACCCAGACAUCAAUCUUCACCUGGGCAUAGAGGAAAUACUCAGAUUUCCAAGCAGGUUCUAGGUUCAGAGGAGAGCGCGCUUGGUUGGAGGCGCUGGUCUUGCAGGAUGGGGUGGGGGCGUUAAUACAAACUUCUGGUCCAGCAGAGGUAGAAACAGACCAGAUGUAAGUAGCAGCUCAAAGGCAGCGGACUUGAGGGAUGAAGACGUGAGGCCCAGAGGGUGGUGACUGGCAGAGAAAACAGCUGCCGGACACCAAGGCCACCUCGGGUUAAAGGGAACAAGUUGUACCCAAAAAAAACACGGUGAAAAUAGGAAGAAUAAGAAUAUCACCUGGAGUGUUCUCCUAGGACCCUCCCCAAGAACCUGGAUGCUUUAACAAUCCCUCCAGAGCAGGGACACUCAGAAUACAUACAUAGAGCAGGGACACUCAGAAUACAUACAUAUCCCACAAAGUAAAGUGUCUGAAGGCCUGGGCAGACCCUUCUUCCUCCCCUUCUCUCUCCUCCGUCGGCCGGCCCGGAGGAGGGUCAGGGAUGAGAACUACUCUCACUGCUGUCCCCCACCUCACCCCAACGAGAGAGGAAUCUAGAGGUCUGUAUCCCUCCUUCACCACCCCGCCCGAGCGCCUUCUGGAAAACACAACCACCGUCCCAAGUCUCACCCAGCAACUGCAUCCAAGCGCUUUCUCCAAGUGUUCGCGGAGCCGCCGGAACUCUUCCAGGCAGGCGUUCCCGGACUCUGUACAGUAGGCACCCCGCCCUUGGGGUUUUGAGCCGCAGUGUCUGCCUCUGUCCAAGUAUCCAGCCUCAGGUGCAGACCUUUCAGGGCCGGCGGCGGGAGGCGCAGACAGGGAGGACCCCCUCAGGCGUACUGCAGCCCGGGCUGCCGCGCCAGAGAGUUUGCAUCCUUGGGAACCGCGGACGUGCCUGGGCGCUCCAACUCCGCGCGCCUCAGACGCUGAGGCUAUGAUUGGCCUGGCUGAACGUCAAUCAGGGCUCGGCGCCGUGGAGGCGGGACGAACGCCGCGGGCCGAGCCUGCUUAACUCCCUGCCGAGUUAUUCUCUGCCACUUCUAAGACCUCCUCCUCAGAUGUGGACCGUACAGAUGAUGCUCCAUCGGUUACUCUGAUCCUGGCUUUGGGACUGCCAGAUAAAACUGGGAGAAACCCUACAUUUACUCUUACUGUAACGUAUUGGCUUGAAACUGCAGCAUAUUCACCAUGAAGACAUGAGGAUGAAGACCUUUAUGA